CAGAAUGCAGGUUACCGAGGACAUGACCCUUGAUAGGGGAGUCUGGAGGUCUAGAAUCAGGAUUGUAGGCUAGUGGCUCAUAGAGUUCUUCGUUCGUCUCUCCCGGGGGUGGGGUGUGGGAUAGUUGGGUCACCCAUAGGUGAUUAUGGUUGUUAGUAUGGUAGUUACUGCUUGUUAUUAUUGCAUGCGACUGUAUUUAUGUUGCUUAUGUCUUCAGAAUUAUUUAUGUUAUUUUUGCGGGAGUACUUAUGCUUUAUUAUUUUGUUUUGUCUUUGUGUCUCUAAUUUUACCUUUGUUUCUUAAUGCAGCUUCCCCUUUUUUAUCCUAUACGCUGAGGGUCGAUUGGAAACAGC
RNAcentral lists this long non-coding RNA (353 nucleotides) under Nicotiana benthamiana. RNAcentral's name for it is "long non-coding RNA (NBEN_LNC028671)". The record is from RNAcentral. Lineage: Eukaryota; Viridiplantae; Streptophyta; Magnoliopsida; Solanales; Solanaceae.